RNAcentral lists this transfer RNA (72 nucleotides) under Camelus bactrianus (Bactrian camel). It matches the Rfam family "tRNA". Rfam says of the family: Transfer RNA (tRNA) molecules are approximately 80 nucleotides in length. Their secondary structure includes four short double-helical elements and three loops (D, anti-codon, and T loops). Further hydrogen bonds mediate the characteristic L-shaped molecular structure. tRNAs have two regions of fundamental functional importance: the anti-codon, which is responsible for specific mRNA codon recognition, and the 3' end, to which the tRNAs corresponding amino acid is attached (by aminoacyl-tRNA synthetases). tRNAs cope with the degeneracy of the genetic code in two manners: having more than one tRNA (with a specific anti-codon) for a particular amino acid; and 'wobble' base-pairing, i.e. permitting non-standard base-pairing at the 3rd anti-codon position. The record is from Rfam by way of RNAcentral. Lineage: Eukaryota; Metazoa; Chordata; Mammalia; Artiodactyla; Camelidae. RNAcentral also lists the same sequence under 1 other name.
GAGAUUAGAGCUCAGUGGUAGAGCAUGUGCUUAGCAUGCACGAGGUCCUGGGUUCCAUCCCCAGUACUUGCA